AAAAAAAAAAAAAAAAAAAAUCGGAGUGAACAUCUAGGAUUUUCAGUGUUUUGAUUAGUGUUUUGACUAAGAGAGAUAAAGGUGAUAAAGCGAGACUAGGGAGAGAUGUUUCUGAGAGAAAGUUUUGAGUGGUUUACAUUGGAAUGGCCCAUUCAGAAUUCAAAGCCAAAUUAAACUGUAGAUGGAUUGAACCAUUCCCAUUCCAAAGUGGAAUAGAAAUCGGAAGUCAAAUCUUGUAAAACAAACAAUAACUAUCGGAAUCAAUAAAUUUUAUUCCGACUACAUAGUCUAAAAUAGGUGAACCAAACAAGUAAGAGUAAGGUGAGGUGGUUGAGUAAAUUGAUUUGAUUGGUUAUAAUUUAUUAAAAUUAUUAAAUUAAACACACCCUAUUUUUAGAAUAAAAGUUUUGGAGGUGGUUGAGUAAAUUGAUUUGAUUGGUUAUAAUUUAUUAAAAUUAUUAAAUUAAACACACCCUUUUUUUUUUUCCUUUUAUAAAUUGACUCACUUUUAAAUGACUAUUUAAUCGGGUUUUUUACCCAACUAGUCUCCUCCAAAACUUUUAUUCUAAA
This 570-nucleotide long non-coding RNA is filed under the name Ananas comosus (pineapple). RNAcentral's name for it is "long non-coding RNA (ACOM_LNC009065)". The record is from RNAcentral. Lineage: Eukaryota; Viridiplantae; Streptophyta; Magnoliopsida; Poales; Bromeliaceae.